Molecule: ribosomal RNA, 520 nt
Filed under: uncultured bacterium
Lineage: Bacteria
Description: bacterial SSU rRNA
Rfam family: Bacterial small subunit ribosomal RNA
Source: RNAcentral
GAGAGGAAGGUCCCCCACACUGGUACUGAGACACGGACCAGACUCCUACGGGAGGCAGCAGUGAGGAAUAUUGGUCAAUGGGCGAGAGCCUGAACCAGCCAAGUCGCGUGAAGGAUGAAGGAUCUAUGGUUUGUAAACUUCUUUUAUAUGGGAAUAAAGUGAGGAACGUGUUCCUUUUUGUAUGUACCAUAUGAAUAAGCAUCGGCUAACUCCGUGCCAGCAGCCGCGGUAAUACGGAGGAUGCGAGCGUUAUCCGGAUUUAUUGGGUUUAAAGGGUGCGUAGGUGGUUAAUUAAGUCAGCGGUGAAAGUUUGUGGCUCAACCAUAAAAUUGCCGUUGAAACUGGUUGACUUGAGUAUAUUUGAGGUAGGCGGAAUGCGUGGUGUAGCGGUGAAAUGCAUAGAUAUCACGCAGAACUCCGAUUGCGAAGGCAGCUUACUAAACUAUAACUGACACUGAAGCACGAAAGCGUGGGGAUCAAACAGGAUUAGAUACCCUGGUAGUCCACGCAGUAAACGAUG